RNAcentral lists this ribosomal RNA (253 nucleotides) under uncultured bacterium. RNAcentral's name for it is "partial 16S ribosomal RNA". It matches the Rfam family "Bacterial small subunit ribosomal RNA", at positions 524 to 776 of the family's 1533-position model. The record is from RNAcentral.
UACGUAGGGACCAAGCGUUGUUCGGAUUUACUGGGCGUAAAGGGCACGUAGGCGGCUUGACAAGUCACUUGUGAAAUCUCCGGGCUUAACUCGGAACGGCCAAGUGAAACUGUCAUGCUAGAGUGCAGAAGGGGCAAUCGGAAUUCUUGGUGUAGCGGUGAAAUGCGUAGAUAUCAAGAGGAACACCUGAGGUGAAGACGGGUUGCUGGGCUGGCACUGACGCUGAGGCGCGAAAGCCAGGGGAGCAAACGGG